GGAUGAACGCUGGCGGCGUGCCUAAUACAUGCAAGUCGAGCGAACGGACGAGAAGCUUGCUUCUCUGAUGUUAGCGGCGGACGGGUGAGUAACACGUGGAUAACCUACCUAUAAGACUGGGAUAACUUCGGGAAACCGGAGCUAAUACCGGAUAAUAUUUUGAACCGCAUGGUUCAAAAGUGAAAGACGGUCUUGCUGUCACUUAUAGAUGGAUCCGCGCUGCAUUAGCUAGUUGGUAAGGUAACGGCUUACCAAGGCAACGAUGCAUAGCCGACCUGAGAGGGUGAUCGGCCACACUGGAACUGAGACACGGUCCAGACUCCUACGGGAGGCAGCAGUAGGGAAUCUUCCGCAAUGGGCGAAAGCCUGACGGAGCAACGCCGCGUGAGUGAUGAAGGUCUUCGGAUCGUAAAACUCUGUUAUUAGGGAAGAACAUAUGUGUAAGUAACUGUGCACAUCUUGACGGUACCUAAUCAGAAAGCCACGGCUAACUACGUGCCAGCAGCCGCGGUAAUACGUAGGUGGCAAGCGUUAUCCGGAAUUAUUGGGCGUAAAGCGCGCGUAGGCGGUUUUUUAAGUCUGAUGUGAAAGCCCACGGCUCAACCGUGGAGGGUCAUUGGAAACUGGAAAACUUGAGUGCAGAAGAGGAAAGUGGAAUUCCAUGUGUAGCGGUGAAAUGCGCAGAGAUAUGGAGGAACACCAGUGGCGAAGGCGACUUUCUGGUCUGUAACUGACGCUGAUGUGCGAAAGCGUGGGGAUCAAACAGGAUUAGAUACCCUGGUAGUCCACGCCGUAAACGAUGAGUGCUAAGUGUUAGGGGGUUUCCGCCCCUUAGUGCUGCAGCUAACGCAUUAAGCACUCCGCCUGGGGAGUACGACCGCAAGGUUGAAACUCAAAGGAAUUGACGGGGACCCGCACAAGCGGUGGAGCAUGUGGUUUAAUUCGAAGCAACGCGAAGAACCUUACCAAAUCUUGACAUCCUUUGACAACUCUAGAGAUAGAGCCUUCCCCUUCGGGGGACAAAGUGACAGGUGGUGCAUGGUUGUCGUCAGCUCGUGUCGUGAGAUGUUGGGUUAAGUCCCGCAACGAGCGCAACCCUUAAGCUUAGUUGCCAUCAUUAAGUUGGGCACUCUAAGUUGACUGCCGGUGACAAACCGGAGGAAGGUGGGGAUGACGUCAAAUCAUCAUGCCCCUUAUGAUUUGGGCUACACACGUGCUACAAUGGACAAUACAAAGGGCAGCGAAACCGCGAGGUCAAGCAAAUCCCAUAAAGUUGUUCUCAGUUCGGAUUGUAGUCUGCAACUCGACUACAUGAAGCUGGAAUCGCUAGUAAUCGUAGAUCAGCAUGCUACGGUGAAUACGUUCCCGGGUCUUGUACACACCGCCCGUCACACCACGAGAGUUUGUAACACCCGAAGCCGGUGGAGUAACCUUUUAGGAGCUAGCCGUCGAAGGUGGGACAAAUGAUUGGGGUGAAGUCGUAACAAGGUAGCCGUAUCGGAAGGUGCGGCUGGAUCACCUCCUUUCUAA
Molecule: ribosomal RNA, 1530 nt
Filed under: Staphylococcus aureus
Lineage: Bacteria; Bacillati; Bacillota; Bacilli; Caryophanales; Staphylococcaceae
Description: partial 16S ribosomal RNA
Rfam family: Bacterial small subunit ribosomal RNA
Source: RNAcentral